AAGUUGUUGCAGUUAAAAAGCUCGUAGUUGAACCUUGAGCCUGGCUGGCCGGUCCGCCUCACCGCGUGCACUGGUCCGGCCGGGUUUUUCCUUCUGGGGAGCCGCAUGCCCUUCACUGGGUGUGUCGGGGAACCAGGACUUUUACUUUGAAAAAAUUAGAGUGUUCAAAGCAGGCCUAUGCUCGAAUACAUUAGCAUGGAAUAAUAGAAUAGGACGUGUGGUUCUAUUUUGUUGGUUUCUAGGACCGCCGUAAUGAUUAAUAGGGAUAGUCGGGGGCAUCAGUAUUCAAUUGUCAGAGGUGAAAUUCUUGGAUUUAUGAAAGACGAACAUCUGCGAAAGCAUUUGCCAAGGAUGUUUUCAUUAAUCAGUGAACGAAAGUUAGGGGAUCGAAG
Molecule: ribosomal RNA, 392 nt
Filed under: uncultured Chlamydomonas
Lineage: Eukaryota; Viridiplantae; Chlorophyta; Chlorophyceae; Chlamydomonadales; Chlamydomonadaceae
Description: partial Eukaryotic small subunit ribosomal RNA
Rfam family: Eukaryotic small subunit ribosomal RNA
Source: RNAcentral